Molecule: small RNA, 99 nt
Filed under: Sinorhizobium meliloti 2011
Lineage: Bacteria; Pseudomonadati; Pseudomonadota; Alphaproteobacteria; Hyphomicrobiales; Rhizobiaceae
Description: putative ncRNA
Source: RNAcentral
AAUCGAUCAAAUGCCGGGACUAAACAACUAGAGCUAUUUCGCCUUUAUGUACGCAACGAGAUCGGCAAUCUCGGCACGUGUCAGGGAUAGAUUUGGCAU